UGGGUCUGCUGACCAGGAGAAAAGGGAGCAAUGGAGAAGGAUAAGGAAAGAGAAACUGAGUGACUUCUCUGCCUCAAUCUUCACUACAAGGGACAGUGAGGGGGCAUCUGCUUUUUUCCAGCUUACUUGAAAAAAAUGGAUUCAAACUGGUUCGGGUAGGAGCCGUAUCACCCGGGUGGAAAACAAGCCGAAGCAAAAGGUACAUUGGUAUGUUUGUCCUGCCUUUUUAUAGUUUCAGUUUCCCUCUUGAAAAACAUUUCCAGCUGAG
Long non-coding RNA from Mauremys mutica (yellowpond turtle), 268 nucleotides. RefSeq lists it as uncharacterized. The record is from RefSeq and is a predicted model, not a curated record. Lineage: Eukaryota; Metazoa; Chordata; Testudines; Geoemydidae. The transcript is spliced from 3 exons.